AACAUACCCUAGAGCGGGGGAUAACGUAGCAAAGUUACGCUAAUACCGCAUACGCACUAUGGUGGAAAGCAGGGGAUCGCAAGACCUUGCGCUCAUGGAGUGGCCGAUGUCAGAUUAGCUUGUUGGUGGGGUAAAAGCCUACCAAGGCGACGAUCUGUAGCUGGUCUGAGAGGACGACCAGCCACACUGGAACUGAGACACGGUCCAG
This 208-nucleotide ribosomal RNA is filed under the name uncultured bacterium. Its description in RNAcentral is "partial 16S ribosomal RNA". It matches the Rfam family "Bacterial small subunit ribosomal RNA", at positions 123 to 334 of the family's 1533-position model. The record is from RNAcentral.